GACGAACGCUGGCGGCGUGCUUAACACAUGCAAGUCGAACGGAAAGGCCCUGCUUUUGUGGGGUGCUCGAGUGGCGAACGGGUGAGUAACACGUGAGUAACCUGCCCUUGACUUUGGGAUAACUUCAGGAAACUGGGGCUAAUACCGGAUAGGAGCUCCUGCUGCAUGGUGGGGGUUGGAAAGUUUCGGCGGUUGGGGAUGGACUCGCGGCUUAUCAGCUUGUUGGUGGGGUAGUGGCUUACCAAGGCUUUGACGGGUAGCCGGCCUGAGAGGGUGACCGGCGACAUUGGGACUGAGAUACGGCCCAGACUCCUACGGGAGGCAGCAGUGGGGAAUAUUGCACAAUGGGCGGAAGCCUGAUGCAGCAACGCCGCGUGCGGGAUGACGGCCUUCGGGUUGUAAACCGCUUUCGCCUGUGACAAAGCGUGAGUGACGGUAAUGGGUAAAGAAGCACCGGCUAACUACGUG
This 468-nucleotide ribosomal RNA is filed under the name uncultured bacterium. RNAcentral describes it as "partial 16S ribosomal RNA". It matches the Rfam family "Bacterial small subunit ribosomal RNA", at positions 28 to 507 of the family's 1533-position model. The record is from RNAcentral.